RNAcentral lists this ribosomal RNA (2544 nucleotides) under Pseudomonadota bacterium. Its description in RNAcentral is "partial 23S ribosomal RNA". It matches the Rfam family "Bacterial large subunit ribosomal RNA", at positions 1175 to 2925 of the family's 2925-position model. The record is from RNAcentral. Lineage: Bacteria; Pseudomonadati; Pseudomonadota. RNAcentral also lists the same sequence under 1 other name.
ACGGGGCUCAAGCUGGGCACCGAAGCCGCGGGUCCUGUCGGGGUGUCGUCCCCGGCAGGGCGGUAGGGGAGCGUUCCGCUGUAGGGUGAAGCCGGACCGUGAGGACCGGUGGACGAGGCGGAAGUGAGAAUGCAGGCAUGAGUAGCGAAAAGGCGGGUGAGAAUCCCGCCCCCCGUAAGCCUAAGGGUUCUUACGGAAGGUUCGUCCGCGUAAGGUUAGGCGGGAGCUAAGGCGAGGCCGAAAGGCGUAGCCGAUGCACAGCCGGUCGACAUUCCGGCCCCGCUCAGGGAUCGCUACGAGCCACGGAGGGACGCAGGAGGGUAGCCCUACCGGCGACCGGUCGUGCCGGGCCAACCGGGUAGGCUGGGGUCCUAGGCAAAUCCGGGACCCCGUCAAGGCCGAGACGGGAGUGCGAGCGGGAUUGAGACGCCCGCGAAGUGGGUGAGCCCACACUGCCAAGAAAAGCUUCGUGGCCAGAUCCCUGGGUGCCCGUACCGCAAACCGACACAGGUAGGCAGGCACACAACGUGCCCAGGGGCGCGAGGGAACCCUCCUCAAGGAACUCGGCAAAUUGGCCCCGUAACUUCGGGAGAAGGGGUGCCCCGGUAGGGUGAGGUGCCUCGCGCACCGAGCCCGAAGGGGUCGCAGGGAAUCGGCCCAGGCGACUGUUUAACAAAAACACAGGUCUCUGCUAAGCCGCAAGGCGAUGUAUAGGGGCCGACGCCUGCCCAGUGCCGGAAGGUAAAGGGGAGGGGUGAGGCCGCAAGGCGUAGCUCCAAACCGAAGCCCCGGUGAACGGCGGCCGUAACUAUAGCCAGGACCGCUGUAGUUACGUUACCAAAAUCCGGCUAUAUGCUGGGAAGUCCCGGGUAUCCUGCGCUACGCAGCCUGCCGAGAGCAGGUGCGUGACAAUGCGUCAGGUGGGGACCAUCAGCAGGAAAGGCUCCGGUGAUCGGAAUGCUGGACGUGAAGAAAAUUCCUCCUCACAUUGGGUACUACCUCGCCGGGUUCGCGGACGGCGAGGGGAGCUUCAACGUCAGCUUCCGCCCUCGGAGCGACGACCACCACCCCUGGAAGGUCUCCUUGUGUUUCAAUAUCUCGCAGCGCGACCGCGUGAUCCUUGCCCUGUUCAAGCGUUACCUGCGCUGCGGUACCCUCCGCCAGCGCAGGGACGGGGUGUGGUAUUACGAGGUGAAUAACCUGAACGCGAUCCGGGAUCAUGUGAUCCCAUUCUUCAAGCGGUUCAGGUUCCUCUCGACGAAGAAAAAGCGGGACUUCUCCAAGUUCUGCCAGAUCGCCGAGUUGGUGCUGCGAGGGGAGCACAGGACCGAAGAGGGGAUCCGCCGGAUUCUGGAGAUCCGGCGGGAGAUGAAUGAUGGUGGGAAACGUCGCUACGAGGAUGCCGAAAUCCUAAGCCGAUUUCGGCCCGGAGAAUCCUCAGAGACUGUACGCCGGACUCCGGAGCCUUAGCUCCGGAGAUGAGACAGUCCGACCUGCGUGGCGACACGCAGAGCGGGUAACCAAUCCCGCCGCCCGGUAACACCGGGUCGUAACAAGGUGAACGGUCCUAAGGUAGCGAAAUUCCUUGUCGGGUAAGUUCCGACCUGCAUGAAAGGCGUAACGACCUGGGCGCUGUCUCGAGGAGGGGCUCGGCGAAGGUGUACCACCCGUGAAGAUACGGGUUACCCGCAGCUGGACGGAAAGACCCCGUGGAGCUUUACUGCAGCCUGAUAUUGGAUGUGGUUUUGCCGUGUAUAGGAUAGGUGGGAGGCUGAGAAGCGGGGGCGCCAGCCUCCGUGGAGCCGCCCUUGGAAUACCACCCUCGGUAAGGCUACGUCCUAACCGGGGCCCUACAUCGGGUUCCGGGACAGUGUCAGGUGGGCAGUUUGACUGGGGCGGUCGCCUCCUAAAGGGUAACGGAGGCGCCCAAAGGUCCCCUCAGCACGGUUGGAAACCGUGCGUUGAGUGCAAGGGCAUAAGGGGGCUUGACUGCGAGACCCACAAGUCGAGCAGGGGCGAAAGCCGGGCCUAGUGAUCCUCUGGCGGCAAGUGGAAGCGCCAGGGCUUAACGGAUAAAAGCUACCCCGGGGAUAACAGGCUGAUCUCCCCCAAGAGUCCACAUCGACGGGGAGGUUUGGCACCUCGAUGUCGGCUCACCCCAUCCUGGGGGGGCAGUACCUCCCAAGGGUUGGGCUGUUCGCCCAUUAAAGGGGUACGUGAGCUGGGUUCAGACCGUCGUGAGACAGGUCGGUCCCUAUCCACUGCGGGCGCAGGUGGCUUGAGGGGGGCUGCUCCUAGUACGAGAGGACCGGAGUGGACGCACCUCUGGUGUACCGGUUGUCGCGCCAGCGGCACGCGCCGGGUAGCCAUGUGCGGUUGUGAUAAGCGCUGAAAGCAUCUAAGCGCGAAGCACGCCCCAAGAUGAGGCCACCCACCGGGUCAACCGGGUAAGGCCCCAGGAAGACCACCUGGUAGAUAGGCCGGAGGUGGAAGCGCGGCAACGCGUGAAGCCGACCGGUACUAAUCGGCCGAGGGCUUGGCGGC